Molecule: ribosomal RNA, 478 nt
Filed under: uncultured bacterium
Lineage: Bacteria
Description: partial 16S ribosomal RNA
Rfam family: Bacterial small subunit ribosomal RNA
Source: RNAcentral
GACGAACGCUGGCGGCGUGCUUAACACAUGCAAGUCGAACGGGAUUUAGUAGACAGAAGCCUCGGCUAAAGAUUACUAAUGAGAGUGGCGAACGGGUGAGUAACGCGUGAGCAACCUGCCUAUGACAGUGGGAUAGCCUCGGGAAACCGGGAUUAAUACCGCAUAAAAUCGUAGAAACACAUGUUUUAACGGUCAAAGAUUUAUCGGGCAUAGAUGGGCUCGCGUCUGAUUAGCUAGUUGGUGAGAUAACAGCCCACCAAGGCGACGAUCAGUAGCCGGGCUGAGAGGAUGAGCGGCCACAUUGGAGCGGAGACACAGUCCAAACUCCUACGGGAUGCAGCAGUGGGGAAUAUUGCACAAUGGGGGAAGCCCUGAUGCAGCGACGACGCGUGAACGAAGAAGGUAUUCGUAUCGUAAAGUUCUGUCCUAUGUGAAGAUAAUGACAGUACCAUAGAAGAAAGCGACGGCUAAAUACGUG